GAGGGAGCAUCACAGGGUAUUCUAGCUGAGGAGAGGCCACUGUGUAGACAGCAACAGUUGGUGUCUGGGAUUGCCUGAGUGUUCCAGAACUGACCCCUGGCAUCGGUCCCACUGCACACAGUUUGCAAAAGGUGACCAGCAUUCAUCUGAAGCUAUCCAGGGACCCUUGACACCAGCUCUCUCAUUGUCACAUGCUACAUUCCACUCAGCUGUGUGCCAGGAGUCAGAGACAAAGGGUCACAGGACACUGAUACCUUCCAUGCUGUCUCAUUGACAGCACAUUGCUGACUUGUGGAAAAUCCCAGAUUCUGUUACAAGAAGGAAGAGUAUUAACACGGGAGCUGAUGCAAGUAUUUGUAAUUCAUGCAUAUUACUGCAAUAAUUUUCCAAUGACUCA
Long non-coding RNA from Phodopus roborovskii (desert hamster), 397 nucleotides. RefSeq lists it as uncharacterized. The transcript is spliced from 3 exons. The record is from RefSeq and is a predicted model, not a curated record. NCBI's taxonomy places the organism in Eukaryota, Metazoa, Chordata, Mammalia, Rodentia, Cricetidae.